UCUCCAGCUCCUUCUGACAUCAGGCGCGAUGGGAGGUCUGAAGGAGAUGGUUCUAUCCUCCGGGUAUAUCAUACCAAAGAAGGGGAUUUUAUUGAAUGCCAGGGGAUAAGGAAAGCAAAGCACUGCAGGGACAUUUGGUCAGUGGGGACUCAUCGGAUAAGAGGAGAAGGAGGAGUGGCCUCAAUAAACCAAGUCAAGGUAAUUGACUUUGCCCAACGUCAGGAGGUCACUCGAGAGUGGGUGGUGAGCAGCCGUUUCCUCCCUUAUUCCUUGCUCUAACCACACCCCCCACCCUGCAGUGCACGGAUCUGGAGUGUGUUCUUCACAGAGCACCAGCAGCACCGAUGGUAGCCUCACCCCCACGGGCACCCCAAAUUGUUGCAGUGUUACCUGCCUUCCCCAGCGCCCUGCAUCCUGGCCCGUGGCUGCAAUCGCUAUUCUUGGCGGAGACUCUAGUGGGGAUAAGAAACAAACCAAACAAAUGGCCAGCCCUUUCGUGGCCCAGUUUCUAAGAUUCAGUGAGUGUGCCAUCUGGAAGUGGAUCCUCCUGUUCCAGUUGAGCCUUCAGAUGACAGCAGCCUCCUGAGACAUCCUGAGCCAGAAGGACCCAGCAGAGCCACUUCCAGGUUCCUGACAUUCAGAAACUGUGUGUGGUAAUAAAUGUUUACAGUCGUUGUAA
This is a long non-coding RNA of Neofelis nebulosa (Clouded leopard), 679 nucleotides long. RefSeq lists it as uncharacterized. Lineage: Eukaryota; Metazoa; Chordata; Mammalia; Carnivora; Felidae. The record is from RefSeq and is a predicted model, not a curated record. The transcript is spliced from 2 exons.